CGGUAACAGCUCAAAUUUGAAAGCUAGCUCUUUUAGGGUUCGCAUUGUAAUUUGUAGAAGAUGCUUCGGGUGUGGCUCCGGUCUAAAUUUCUUGGAACAGAAUGUCAAAGAGGGUGAGAAUCCCGUCUUGGACCGGCGGUAGGGCCUGUGUAAAACUCCUUCGAC
Molecule: ribosomal RNA, 165 nt
Filed under: Chaetothyriales sp.
Lineage: Eukaryota; Fungi; Ascomycota; Eurotiomycetes; Chaetothyriales
Description: partial large subunit ribosomal RNA
Rfam family: Eukaryotic large subunit ribosomal RNA
Source: RNAcentral